GAUGACUCUCGGCAACGGAUAUCUCGGCUCUCGCAUCGAUGAAGAACGUAGCGAAAUGCGAUACCUGGUGUGAAUUGCAGAAUCCCGUGAACCAUCGAGUCUUUGAACGCAAGUUGCGCCCGAGGCCAUCCGGCCAAGGGCACGCCUGCCUGGGCGUCACGCUU
RNAcentral lists this ribosomal RNA (164 nucleotides) under Musa basjoo (Japanese banana). RNAcentral describes it as "5.8S ribosomal RNA". It matches the Rfam family "5.8S ribosomal RNA". From Rfam's summary of the family: 5.8S ribosomal RNA (5.8S rRNA) is a component of the large subunit of the eukaryotic ribosome. The record is from RNAcentral. Lineage: Eukaryota; Viridiplantae; Streptophyta; Magnoliopsida; Zingiberales; Musaceae.